GUCUGUCGCUGGUGUCAUUUAGGCACAAGAGGAAAGUCCGGGCAGCAUAGGGUACCCCACUUCUGAAAGUGGAAGCUAUUGGUGACAGUAGGUGAGGGCAGAAGAAAAUAACCGCCUUGCUUCGGCAGGGUAAGGGUGAGAAGGUGGUGUAAGAGACCACCAGCCGGUGGGUGAUCAUCGGGCUGUGUCUGCUGGGGGCUGCAAGUUCGCGUAUACCAUCGUCUGAGGGUUGCCCGUCCGAUUUACGAUGGAGGGUAGAACGCUUGAGCUAUGGGGUGACUCAUAGACUAGAUAAAUGACAGACGCCAUCCGCAAGGGUGGUACAGAACCCGGCUUAUAGG
Molecule: RNase P RNA, 341 nt
Filed under: uncultured Prevotella sp.
Lineage: Bacteria; Pseudomonadati; Bacteroidota; Bacteroidia; Bacteroidales; Prevotellaceae
Description: Bacterial RNase P class A
Rfam family: Bacterial RNase P class A
About the family: Ribonuclease P (RNase P) is a ubiquitous endoribonuclease, found in archaea, bacteria and eukarya as well as chloroplasts and mitochondria.
Source: RNAcentral